RNAcentral lists this ribosomal RNA (665 nucleotides) under uncultured Micromonospora sp. RNAcentral's name for it is "bacterial SSU rRNA". It matches the Rfam family "Bacterial small subunit ribosomal RNA", at positions 60 to 743 of the family's 1533-position model. Lineage: Bacteria; Bacillati; Actinomycetota; Actinomycetes; Micromonosporales; Micromonosporaceae. The record is from RNAcentral.
AGUCGAGCGGAAGGCCCUUCGGGGUACUCGAGCGGCGAACGGGUGAGUAACACGUGAGCAACCUGCCCUAGGCUUUGGGAUAACCCUCGGAAACGGGGGCUAAUACCGAAUAUGACCUCGCAUCGCAUGGUGUGUGGUGGAAAGUUUUUCGGCCUGGGAUGGGCUCGCGGCCUAUCAGCUUGUUGGUGGGGUGAUGGCCUACCAAGGCGACGACGGGUAGCCGGCCUGAGAGGGCGACCGGCCACACUGGGACUGAGACACGGCCCAGACUCCUACGGGAGGCAGCAGUGGGGAAUAUUGCACAAUGGGCGGAAGCCUGAUGCAGCGACGCCGCGUGAGGGAUGACGGCCUUCGGGUUGUAAACCUCUUUCAGCAGGGACGAAGCGUAAGUGACGGUACCUGCAGAAGAAGCGCCGGCCAACUACGUGCCAGCAGCCGCGGUAAGACGUAGGGCGCGAGCGUUGUCCGGAUUUAUUGGGCGUAAAGAGCUCGUAGGCGGCUUGUCGCGUCGACCGUGAAAACCUGGGGCUCAACCCCAGGCCUGCGGUCGAUACGGGCAGGCUAGAGUUCGGUAGGGGAGACUGGAAUUCCUGGUGUAGCGGUGAAAUGCGCAGAUAUCAGGAGGAACACCGGUGGCGAAAGGCGGGUCUCUGGGCCGAUACUGA